RNAcentral lists this ribosomal RNA (633 nucleotides) under Providencia alcalifaciens. RNAcentral's name for it is "partial 23S ribosomal RNA". It matches the Rfam family "Bacterial large subunit ribosomal RNA", at positions 607 to 1239 of the family's 2925-position model. Lineage: Bacteria; Pseudomonadati; Pseudomonadota; Gammaproteobacteria; Enterobacterales; Morganellaceae. The record is from RNAcentral.
UUUGUAUAAUGGGUCAGCGACUUAUAUUCUGUAGCAAGGUUAACCGUAUAGGGGAGCCGUAGGGAAACCGAGUCUUAACUGGGCGAAUGAGUUGCAGGGUAUAGACCCGAAACCCGGUGAUCUAGCCAUGGGCAGGUUGAAGGUUGGGUAACACUAACUGGAGGACCGAACCGACUAAUGUUGAAAAAUUAGCGGAUGACUUGUGGCUGGGGGUGAAAGGCCAAUCAAACCGGGAGAUAGCUGGUUCUCCCCGAAAGCUAUUUAGGUAGCGCCUCGUGAACUCAUCUUCGGGGGUAGAGCACUGUUUCGACUAGGGGGUCAUCCCGACUUACCAACUCGAUGCAAACUACGAAUACCGAAGAAUGUUAUCACGGGAGACACACGGCGGGUGCUAACGUUCGUCGUGAAGAGGGAAACAACCCAGACCGCCAGCUAAGGUCCCAAAGUCAUAGUUAAGUGGGAAACGAAGUGGGAAGGCUCAGACAGCCAGGAUGUUGGCUUAGAAGCAGCCAUCAUUUAAAGAAAGCGUAAUAGCUCACUGGUCGAGUCGGCCUGCGCGGAAGAUGUAACGGGGCUAAACUAUGCACCGAAGCUGCGGCAGCGAUAUGUAAAUAUUGUUGGGUAGGGGAGCGU